CGGGAGAAGCUGUAACGAUUAUG
RNAcentral lists this microRNA (23 nucleotides) under Blattella germanica (German cockroach). Its description in RNAcentral is "Bge-Mir-965_5p (mature (guide))". The record is from RNAcentral. Lineage: Eukaryota; Metazoa; Arthropoda; Insecta; Blattodea; Blattellidae.